Molecule: ribosomal RNA, 1552 nt
Filed under: Salmonella enterica subsp. enterica serovar Schwarzengrund
Lineage: Bacteria; Pseudomonadati; Pseudomonadota; Gammaproteobacteria; Enterobacterales; Enterobacteriaceae
Description: bacterial SSU rRNA
Rfam family: Bacterial small subunit ribosomal RNA
Source: RNAcentral
AAAUUGAAGAGUUUGAUCAUGGCUCAGAUUGAACGCUGGCGGCAGGCCUAACACAUGCAAGUCGAACGGUAACAGGAAGCAGCUUGCUGCUUUGCUGACGAGUGGCGGACGGGUGAGUAAUGUCUGGGAAACUGCCCGAUGGAGGGGGAUAACUACUGGAAACGGUGGCUAAUACCGCAUAACGUCGCAAGACCAAAGAGGGGGACCUUCGGGCCUCUUGCCAUCAGAUGUGCCCAGAUGGGAUUAGCUUGUUGGUGAGGUAACGGCUCACCAAGGCGACGAUCCCUAGCUGGUCUGAGAGGAUGACCAGCCACACUGGAACUGAGACACGGUCCAGACUCCUACGGGAGGCAGCAGUGGGGAAUAUUGCACAAUGGGCGCAAGCCUGAUGCAGCCAUGCCGCGUGUAUGAAGAAGGCCUUCGGGUUGUAAAGUACUUUCAGCGGGGAGGAAGGUGUUGUGGUUAAUAACCGCAGCAAUUGACGUUACCCGCAGAAGAAGCACCGGCUAACUCCGUGCCAGCAGCCGCGGUAAUACGGAGGGUGCAAGCGUUAAUCGGAAUUACUGGGCGUAAAGCGCACGCAGGCGGUCUGUCAAGUCGGAUGUGAAAUCCCCGGGCUCAACCUGGGAACUGCAUUCGAAACUGGCAGGCUUGAGUCUUGUAGAGGGGGGUAGAAUUCCAGGUGUAGCGGUGAAAUGCGUAGAGAUCUGGAGGAAUACCGGUGGCGAAGGCGGCCCCCUGGACAAAGACUGACGCUCAGGUGCGAAAGCGUGGGGAGCAAACAGGAUUAGAUACCCUGGUAGUCCACGCCGUAAACGAUGUCUACUUGGAGGUUGUGCCCUUGAGGCGUGGCUUCCGGAGCUAACGCGUUAAGUAGACCGCCUGGGGAGUACGGCCGCAAGGUUAAAACUCAAAUGAAUUGACGGGGGCCCGCACAAGCGGUGGAGCAUGUGGUUUAAUUCGAUGCAACGCGAAGAACCUUACCUGGUCUUGACAUCCACAGAACUUUCCAGAGAUGGAUUGGUGCCUUCGGGAACUGUGAGACAGGUGCUGCAUGGCUGUCGUCAGCUCGUGUUGUGAAAUGUUGGGUUAAGUCCCGCAACGAGCGCAACCCUUAUCCUUUGUUGCCAGCGGUCCGGCCGGGAACUCAAAGGAGACUGCCAGUGAUAAACUGGAGGAAGGUGGGGAUGACGUCAAGUCAUCAUGGCCCUUACGACCAGGGCUACACACGUGCUACAAUGGCGCAUACAAAGAGAAGCGACCUCGCGAGAGCAAGCGGACCUCAUAAAGUGCGUCGUAGUCCGGAUUGGAGUCUGCAACUCGACUCCAUGAAGUCGGAAUCGCUAGUAAUCGUGGAUCAGAAUGCCACGGUGAAUACGUUCCCGGGCCUUGUACACACCGCCCGUCACACCAUGGGAGUGGGUUGCAAAAGAAGUAGGUAGCUUAACCUUCGGGAGGGCGCUUACCACUUUGUGAUUCAUGACUGGGGUGAAGUCGUAACAAGGUAACCGUAGGGGAACCUGCGGUUGGAUCACCUCCUUACCUUAAAGAA